Molecule: ribosomal RNA, 520 nt
Filed under: uncultured Glomus
Lineage: Eukaryota; Fungi; Glomeromycota; Glomeromycetes; Glomerales; Glomeraceae
Description: SSU rRNA
Rfam family: Eukaryotic small subunit ribosomal RNA
Source: RNAcentral
AGCAGCCGCGGUAAUUCCAGCUCCAAUAGCGUAUAUUAAAGUUGCUGCAGUUAAAAAGCUCGUAGUUGAAUUUCGGGGUCAAUAUGUUGGUCGUGCCUUGGUACGUACUAGCUUAUUGAUUUCUCCUUUCUGACGAACCAUGAUGUCAUUAAUUUGGUGUCAUGGGGAAUCAGGACUGUUACUUUGAAAAAUUAGAGUGUUUAAAGCAGGCUCGCGCUUGAAUACAUUAGCAUGGAAUAAUGAAAUAGGACAUCUGAUUCUAUUUUGUGGUUUCUAGGAUCGAUGUAAUGAUUAAUAGGGAUAGUUGGGGGGCAUUAGUAUUCAAUUGUCAGAGGUGAAAUUCUUGGAUUUAUUGAAGACUAACUACUGCGAAAGCAUUUGCCAAGGAUGUUUUCAUUAAUCAAAAGCGAAAGUUAGGGGAUCGAAGACGAUCAGAUACCGUCGUAGUCUUAACCAUAAACUAUGCCGACUAGGGAUCGGAUGAUGUUAAUUUUUUAAUGGACUCAUUCGGCGCCUUACG